GAUGAACGCUGGCGGCGUGCCUAAUACAUGCAAGUCGAGCGAACAGACGAGGAGCUUGCUCCUCUGACGUUAGCGGCGGACGGGUGAGUAACACGUGGAUAACCUACCUAUAAGACUGGGAUAACUUCGGGAAACCGGAGCUAAUACCGGAUAAUAUAUUGAACCGCAUGGUUCAAUAGUGAAAGACGGUUUUGCUGUCACUUAUAGAUGGAUCCGCGCCGCAUUAGCUAGUUGGUAAGGUAACGGCUUACCAAGGCGACGAUGCGUAGCCGACCUGAGAGGGUGAUCGGCCACACUGGAACUGAGACACGGUCCAGACUCCUACGGGAGGCAGCAGUAGGGAAUCUUCCGCAAUGGGCGAAAGCCUGACGGAGCAACGCCGCGUGAGUGAUGAAGGUCUUCGGAUCGUAAAACUCUGUUAUUAGGGAAGAACAUAUGUGUAAGUAACUGUGCACAUCUUGACGGUACCUAAUCAGAAAGCCACGGCUAACUACGUG
This 497-nucleotide ribosomal RNA is filed under the name uncultured bacterium. RNAcentral describes it as "partial 16S ribosomal RNA". It matches the Rfam family "Bacterial small subunit ribosomal RNA", at positions 28 to 507 of the family's 1533-position model. The record is from RNAcentral.